UACGAAGGGGACUAGCGUUGUUCGGAAUCACUGGGCGUAAAGCGCACGUAGGCGGAUCAUUUAGUCAGAGGUGAAAUCCCGGGGCUCAACCUCGGAACUGCCUUUGAUACUGAUGGUCUCGAGUCCGAUAGAGGUGGGUAGAAUUCCUAGUGUAGAGGUGAAAUUCGUAGAUAUUAGGAAGAAUACCGGUGGCGAAGGCGGCCCACUGGAUCGGUACUGACGCUGAGGUGCGAAAGCGUGGGGAGCAAACAGG
Molecule: ribosomal RNA, 253 nt
Filed under: uncultured bacterium
Lineage: Bacteria
Description: partial 16S ribosomal RNA
Rfam family: Bacterial small subunit ribosomal RNA
Source: RNAcentral